RNAcentral lists this ribosomal RNA (253 nucleotides) under uncultured bacterium. Its description in RNAcentral is "partial 16S ribosomal RNA". It matches the Rfam family "Bacterial small subunit ribosomal RNA", at positions 524 to 776 of the family's 1533-position model. The record is from RNAcentral.
UACGUAGGGGGCAAGCGUUGUCCGGAUUUAUUGGGCGUAAAGAGUGUGUAGGCGGUUUGGAAGGUCAGCUGUGAAAACUCGAGGCUCAACCUCGAGACGUCGGUUGAAACCACCUGGCUAGAGUCCGGAAGAGGAGAGUGGAAUUCCCGGUGUAGCGGUGAAAUGCGCAGAUAUCGGGAAGAACACCCGUGGCGAAGGCGGCUCUCUGGGACGGUACUGACGCUGAGACGCGAAAGCGUGGGGAGCGAACAGG